This 451-nucleotide ribosomal RNA is filed under the name uncultured bacterium. RNAcentral's name for it is "partial 16S ribosomal RNA". It matches the Rfam family "Bacterial small subunit ribosomal RNA", at positions 354 to 796 of the family's 1533-position model. The record is from RNAcentral.
GUGGGGAAUAUUGGACAAUGGGGGGAACCCUGAUCCAGCCAUGCCGCGUGUGUGAAGAAGGCCUUUUGGUUGUAAAGCACUUUAAGCGAGGAGGAGGCUACCGAGAUUAAUACUCUUGGAUAGUGGACGUUACUCGCAGAAUAAGCACCGGCUAACUCUGUGCCAGCAGCCGCGGUAAUACAGAGGGUGCAAGCGUUAAUCGGAUUUACUGGGCGUAUAGCGCGCGUAGGUGGCCAAUUAAGUCAAAUGUGAAAUCCCCGAGCUUAACUUGGGAAUUACAUUCGAUACUGGUUGGCUAGAGUAUGGGAGAGGAUGGUAGAAUUCCAGGUGUAGCGGUGAAAUGCGUAGAGAUCUGGAGGAAUACCGAUGGCGAAGGCAGCCAUCUGGCCUAAUACUGACACUGAGGUGAGAAAGCAUGGGGAGCAAACAGGAUUAGAAACCCCUGUAGUCC